GACGAACGCUGGCGGCGUGCUUAACACAUGCAAGUCGAGCGGUAAGGCCCUUUCGGGGGUACACGAGCGGCGAACGGGUGAGUAACACGUGGGUGACCUGCCCUUAGCUCUGGGAUAAGCCUGGGAAACUGGGUCUAAUACCGGAUAUGACCUCAUGACUCAUGUUGUGGGGUGGAAAGCCUUGUGCGGCUAGGGAUGGGCCCGCGGCCUAUCAGCUUGUUGGUGGGGUAAUUGCCACCAAGGCGACGACGGGUAGCCGGCCUGAGAGGGCGACCGGCCACACUGGGACUGAGACACGGCCCAGACUCCUACGGGAGGCAGCAGUGGGGAAUCUUGCGCAAUGGGCGAAAGCCUGACGCAGCGACGCCGCGUGAGGGAUGACGGCCUCGG
RNAcentral lists this ribosomal RNA (390 nucleotides) under uncultured bacterium. Its description in RNAcentral is "bacterial SSU rRNA". It matches the Rfam family "Bacterial small subunit ribosomal RNA", at positions 28 to 420 of the family's 1533-position model. The record is from RNAcentral.